GUGCCAGCCGCCGCGGUAAUACGAAGGGUGCAAGCGUUAUUCGGAUUGACUGGGCGUAAAGUGUGUGUAGACGGUAUGUUAAGUCUGUUGUUAAAUUCUCUGGCUCAACUAGAGAUCUGCAGCGGAAACUAAUGUACUAGAGGGCGGAAGAGAGAAGUGGAAUUCUCGGAGUAGCGGUAAAAUGCGUAGAUCUCGAGAGGAACACCAAUGGCGAAGGCAGCUUCUUGGUCCGCUUCUGACGUUGAGACACGAAAGCGUGGGGAGCAAACAGGAUUAGAAACCCUUGUAGUCC
Molecule: ribosomal RNA, 292 nt
Filed under: uncultured bacterium
Lineage: Bacteria
Description: partial 16S ribosomal RNA
Rfam family: Bacterial small subunit ribosomal RNA
Source: RNAcentral